UAACUAAACGGAGGCUAUCUGAUUGGUGGACAAUAUCAACGCAAAAGUAAAGGAGUAAAUACAUAGGUAUGCACAUAGAGUUAGUAGAACAACUCUAGAGGAAAAGCUGGGCCGGAAAAGUGGGAACCUCUAGGGCGCCGCCCUGUUGCUACUGGUCAAUGUGGCCAGCGCAAUUACUAUUGAAAGAGCUGAAAACAAGUACAGGUCACUUAAUGCUUUGUCAUCUAAAAACGCAUACCUGAUGGCUUUAUGAAGGUGGAACGUUAUAUUAAAUUUACAGAAAGCGAUCGCUAAGUCCAUGACUUAUGUAAAUCACGAUGUACGCAUUCAUGCAAUAAAGGAUGACACGAAUUUCGGUUUCGAAUCUGUUUUUUGGUUGCAUAGUAGUUUCGUAUAGUUUAGGUUUGACAUGCGAUCGCGCGUCGACAUCGGACGCUAUGACACACUCGUUCGUGCCUUAUGUGCCACCGAAGCCCCGAAGUGCUCUGGCAUAUACCUUCACAUGUUUCCCUUCAGUAGGAAAUUGCUGGACAGGCAGACCAGCGCACCGGAAUUGUACUGGCGAAGCCACAAGCAACUCAAAGAAUCUGUUUAAUUGUUGCACUUUGAACAAUCAUGCUUCUACAAAGGCCACAGCAGAAAAACAGCCUGAUGCCGAAUAUUUCUGUGCCACGAAGUAAUCAAGAGGCGAGUGCCUAUAAUGCGGACGAAAUCGAGUGCAUCGAGACUUAGAACGACAGAAAGCUGAACUAGUUGGUAAGGAUUCAUUAUGCAAAACAGAGGUGAGGCGUGCAGACAGGACACAAGAGUAGAGAAGUGGGCGGCGCUUGUGUUGUUUGCUUGUAAAUACUCUACUCUCGUGUCCUGUCUGCACGCCUCACCUCCGUUUUGCAUAACGAGUGCAUCAACCCACAUAUUGAUAGCGUAGGCGUUUUAUUAACUGUGUAAUGUUUCCAACACUUCCUUGCAUGCCAUUUCAUGUGGAAUAUAUUUUCUGGUCACAAAUGUGUGCAGCGAAUCAAUUUGCAUGAUCGACUCCGCGCCUGUGGGACCGUUCACUUGCACUUGAUGCUGAGUCUUUUACAUGUAUCCAUAAACUGCAGAUAUGCACAUCAGGCCCCUGCAAGCAUUUUCAAAAUUCAAUUAUUUUAGACAACAGGCACAUAUGCAAUACUGACAUAAUCCCGAAUACCACACGUUUCCCUUUUAUGCAGAUAUGCAAUGGCAAGCCCUUCCAUGUGUUCCAAAAGUAAAAUUUAAGCUCUAAAUUAAAGAAGAUAUUUCUAGUCAGAAACAAGCAAAAAUGGUGACUGCAGAGUAUCAGAAGCCCAAGGUACAGAAAUUGUGAGAAGUGUCGAAUGAUUUCAAGGAAAGAGUCGUAUUUGAAAAUGCAAGACUCUUUAGUGGAGGUCAAGCAAGUCAAUAUAGGUAGAAUACUCUGCAAAAUUAUGCGAGUGAGGGGAUGUCAAACAGUGGGUCAGGAAAUGCAUUGUUUUUCUGCUAAACAAGAGCUGAUUGCCAUUACAUAAGUCACUUCAGCAUCAUGAUAAAUUCAGAAAUAAACCAAAAAACAAGACACGCAAAAAUAAAAAAAAAACAUUUAAUGAUGCUCUCUCCACACUGGGAUAAAUAAAAACAAACACAUCACAUCUAAUGUGGACAUAUCAGAUGCCUUGUGAAACACUAAAGGAACAAUUCAGUUUCGAGCUAUGGCACUUGCCACAUAGAUGUGGGGGGGCCUUGCACCAAUAGUGAUAGUUACCACUGCAUUUAGAAAUUGAAAGCAUUCGUGCAGACAAGGAUGAUUCUUUCUAUUCUUGGCUACCACUUCAAAUGCCUCCACCAAGUGUUACAAUGCUGCACGCAGCCAUACUAAGGAUCUCGCAGCAACACCUGCAGGUAAAAAGCAGAAGCAGUCAAAGUGCUGGUGUGUUCUGGACACUAUGUUUGAAAACAUUUAGGCAAGAAGAGUGCAAGAAGCAGACAUAACAACUGCAUUUAUUUCCAUAAUUCCCCAUUUAAAUGGCCUUUUCUUUUUGCUUAGACAAUGCCUACGCCUAGCCACAGCAGCUCCCUCAUACAGACUCCGCAAGCCAAGAGGCCGUGGAGCCAAAUGCAGGUAAGAGGCAAUAAGCAAUAGCACUGGUAUUGACAUUCAUCUAAUUUCUUUUUAUUUCGUUUAGGCAGCCAGCACACCUCGAACAGCCACCUUGACUGCAGGUGUGUCACCCUAGUCGCCAAGGAAACAUUUGAGGGAAAGUGACAGGCAAUGUGAACAGCCACUUCUCCAUGUAAACAAUACUCUUUCUCUCGAAUGACUCCUACACCUCGCCACGCCAGCACACUUGUGCACAAAGAUGCCGCAGAGGCACGUGCAGGUCAGAGGCAAGAAGCAGUGGCACUGGUGUCGACUUUUACCCAAUUUCUUUUUCUUACACUGAGGCAGCCAGCACACCUCGAACAGCCACCUUGAGUGCGGGUGUGUCAGUAGAUUCCUGUUGUACAUAUGCUCAUAAUAAACUUCAGUAAACUUGAA
Long non-coding RNA from Dermacentor albipictus, 2536 nucleotides. RefSeq lists it as uncharacterized. Lineage: Eukaryota; Metazoa; Arthropoda; Arachnida; Ixodida; Ixodidae. The record is from RefSeq and is a predicted model, not a curated record.